Molecule: long non-coding RNA, 353 nt
Filed under: Nicotiana benthamiana
Lineage: Eukaryota; Viridiplantae; Streptophyta; Magnoliopsida; Solanales; Solanaceae
Description: long non-coding RNA (NBEN_LNC001990)
Source: RNAcentral
UCCCAAUUCGCCCUCGAAAAAUAAAUUUAUUUCCAGCAGUGUCCCCAUUUCGCCGCUAAUUAGCAAUGGCUCCACCGAGCUCGGCGUCUCCGGUGGCGUUAUCGAGGCCGGUAGCUCAAAGGAAGGUCCGUCCUUCAGCUGACUCAUUGGAGAGCUACAGCCGGGGACGGCGUCCGCGACCGAGGUUAUCGGUAUCUCCGCCACCGAAGAAAUUCAGGUCGAUAGAAGAGAUCAUGAGAGUGGCGAAGCGCGUGGAGUUGCCGCCGGACGACGACAGCGAAGACGAUGGAAACGACGGCGAGGAUGUUGUGUGCGAGCAAUGUGGCUCAGGGGAAAGGCCGGAGGAGCUGUUA